RNAcentral lists this long non-coding RNA (1680 nucleotides) under Salmo trutta (river trout). RNAcentral's name for it is "lncRNA (ENSSTUG00000032755.1)". Lineage: Eukaryota; Metazoa; Chordata; Actinopteri; Salmoniformes; Salmonidae. The record is from RNAcentral.
AUGGUUCCUCUGUGUUGGGCUUUAUGCUCUGUGUUAUUAGUCCUAAUGGUUCCUCUGUGUUGGGCUUUAUGCUCUGUGUUAUUAGUCCUAAUGGUUCCUCUGUGUUGGGCUUUAUGCUCUGUGUUAUUAGUCCUAAUGGUUCCUCUGUGUUGGGCUUUAUGCUCUGUGUUAUUAGUCCUAAUGGUUCCUCUGUGUUGGGCUUUAUGCUCUGUGUUAUUAGUCCUAAUGGUUCCUCUGUGUUGGGCUUUAUGCUCUGUGUUAUUAGUCCUAAUGGUUCCUCUGUGUUGGGCUUUAUGCUCUGUGUUAUUAGUCCUAAUGGUUCCUCUGUGUUGGGCUUUAUGCUCUGUGUUAUUAGUCCUAAUGGUUCCUCUGUGUUGGGCUUUAUGCUCUGUGUUAUUAGUCCUAAUGGUUCCUCUGUGUUGGGCUUUAUGCUCUGUGUUAUUAGUCCUAAUGGUUCCUCUGUGUUGGGCUUUAUGCUCUGUGUUAUUAGUCCUAAUGGUUCCUCUGUGUUGGGCUUUAUGCUCUGUGUUAUUAGUCCUAAUGGUUCCUCUGUGUUGGGCUUUAUGCUCUGUGUUAUUAGUCCUAAUGGUUCCUCUGUGUUGGGCUUUAUGCUCUGUGUUAUUAGUCCUAAUGGUUCCUCUGUGUUGGGCUUUAUGCUCUGUGUUAUUAGUCCUAAUGGUUCCUCUGUGUUGGGCUUUAUGCUCUGUGUUAUUAGUCCUAAUGGUUCCUCUGUGUUGGGCUUUAUGCUCUGUGUUAUUAGUCCUAAUGGUUCCUCUGUGUUGGGCUUUAUGCUCUGUGUUAUUAGUCCUAAUGGUUCCUCUGUGUUGGGCUUUAUGCUCUGUGUUAUUAGUCCUAAUGGUUCCUCUGUGUUGGGCUUUAUGCUCUGUGUUAUUAGUCCUAAUGGUUCCUCUGUGUUGGGCUUUAUGCUCUGUGUUAUUAGUCCUAAUGGUUCCUCUGUGUUGGGCUUUAUGCUCUGUGUUAUUAGUCCUAAUGGUUCCUCUGUGUUGGGCUUUAUGCUCUGUGUUAUUAGUCCUAAUGGUUCCUCUGUGUUGGGCUUUAUGCUCUGUGUUAUUAGUCCUAAUGGUUCCUCUGUGUUGGGCUUUAUGCUCUGUGUUAUUAGUCCUAAUGGUUCCUCUGUGUUGGGCUUUAUGCUCUGUGUUAUUAGUCCUAAUGGUUCCUCUGUGUUGGGCUUUAUGCUCUGUGUUAUUAGUCCUAAUGGUUCCUCUGUGUUGGGCUUUAUGCUCUGUGUUAUUAGUCCUAAUGGUUCCUCUGUGUUGGGCUUUAUGCUCUGUGUUAUUAGUCCUAAUGGUUCCUCUGUGUUGGGCUUUAUGCUCUGUGUUAUUAGUCCUAAUGGUUCCUCUGUGUUGGGCUUUAUGCUCUGUGUUAUUAGUCCUAAUGGUUCCUCUGUGUUGGGCUUUAUGCUCUGUGUUAUUAGUCCUAAUGGUUCCUCUGUGUUGGGCUUUAUGCUCUGUGUUAUUAGUCCUAAUGGUUCCUCUGUGUUGGGCUUUAUGCUCUGUGUUAGGUAGUUUGUUAGCUUGUUGUUUUUCACCGAGAGUUGGGCGUGUUUUUCAUCACAGCCCUAAAGAUCUGAAAGACCUCCAUCACUCACAACAUAUCAUUUGGUUCUUUCCCUCCCUCUUUCCCUCUUUUCUCUCAUCCCUCCCUCCCUCCCUCCCUCCC